GGGCGUAAGCGCGCGCAGGCGGUCCUUUAAGUCUGAUGUGAAAGCCCACGGCUCAACCGUGGAGGGUCAUUGGAAACUGGGGGACUUGAGUGCAGAAGAGGAAAGCGGAAUUCCACGUGUAGCGGUGAAAUGCGUAGAGAUGUGGAGGAACACCAGUGGCGAAGGCGGCUUUCUGGUCUGUAACUGACGCUGAGGAGCGAAAGCGUGGGGAGCAAACAGGAUUACAUACCCUGGUAGCCCACGCCGUAAACGAUGAGUGCUAAGUGUUAGAGGGCUUCCUCCCUUUAGUGCUGCAGCUAACGCAUUAACCACUCCGCCUGGGGAGUACGGCCGCAAGGCUCAAAUUCAUUGGAAUUGA
This 358-nucleotide ribosomal RNA is filed under the name Neobacillus drentensis. Its description in RNAcentral is "bacterial SSU rRNA". It matches the Rfam family "Bacterial small subunit ribosomal RNA", at positions 556 to 913 of the family's 1533-position model. The record is from RNAcentral. Lineage: Bacteria; Bacillati; Bacillota; Bacilli; Caryophanales; Bacillaceae.